GAAAGAGAGCGCCGGCUGCCAGCCGAGCCUGGGACGCCUUCCGGCCCAGGCUCCCCCGCCCUUCCCUCGGGGCUCCCCGCUCUCUCCCCCGCCACCCUCCGCUCCCCCCUUUACCCCGAGGCGUGCAGCCACUUCUGUGAAGAGGCCAGACUUGAAGUGGGGCGCAGUUAGGACCUCGGGGCGGAAAGCCUGUGGAGCCUAAGGGGCUCGCCCGCGCCUCAGUUCUCCCGGUUUCUGGGCGGGUCUCAGCCCACUCCAGGCUUGCGGACCAACAAGCGGCCGAGAUGAGGGUCCGCUGCUGAGGUCGGAGGCCGAGCUGCGCCCUUCUGCGCGGAGCGCCCUCCCCGCCCCUCGUCCUAAUUUAGAUCCCACACCUGCUCGCCUUUCCUGCUUCCGGAACCCACGCUGGACCCCCACCCCUCCAGACAGCCUCCUUGUCACUGGCCAGAUCCUUCCCCCGACCCAGUGCUGUUCCCCUGGGUGCAGCGUGUCCCUGUGCUCACGCUCUCAGUCCCUCUUUACCUUAGGAAGGGACAGGCCUUUUCCCAGCCGCGGUGGAUGGCUGGAUUGGCGCUUUCAUCUCGGUUACUCUGUGUGUGGUGUCCUGGAACGGUUGUGUGACAGCCCUCUCCCCUCAAGAGAUAAGAUUAAAAAGGAGGAUAGUCUGUAAUCACAUACUUGGAGCCAUCUUUGGUUUUUAGUUUUCAGCAAAUACUUAUUUUUUUCUCACCGAUUUCUCCCGAGAAACAGCAAACAUUUAUUGAGGCGAUAUUCCAGAGUAGUUCAGAUCAGGCGUCUGAUUUGAAUUUAAAUCGUUGGGCCUAGCAAAUGAGUUUCCUGUGCCUCAGUUUCCUCUGUUGUCAGUGGGCAUAAUGAUAGUCCUAUCUCCUUGCGUUGCUGUAGUGAUUAACAAGUCAGUGCAUGUGAAACUCUUAGCUCUGUGUAAGUGCUUGGUAAAUCUUAGCUGUUAUUCUCACGGUGCUCCAGGUGCUGGGAUAAAAGAUGAUAUAAGACAGUUGUGCUUCUUCAAGAAGUUCACUGUCUUGUGGAUAGAUAGGUAGGAUAAUAAUUGCAAAACAGUGUGAGGAAAACAACAGAGAGAAAACAGAGGUAGACAAAAGGAGACAUCAAAUGAUGUAAGAGAGUUGGUCAAGAAAGGCUUCUUGGGCAGGGUGCGGUGGCCCAGGCCUGUAAUCCCAGCACUUUGGGAGGCCAGGAGUUCGAGACCAGCCUGCAAAAAUGCAAAAAUUAGCUGGGCGUGGUGGCGGGCUCCUGUAAUCCCAGGAGCUACUCGGGAGGCUUAGGCAAUAGUAGUAAUCCAGCUACUCGGGAGGCUUGGGCAGGAGAAUCGCUUGAACCCGGGAGGCGGAGGUUGCAGUGAGCUGAGAUUGCGCCACUGCACUCCAGCCUGGGCAACUGAGCGAGACUCCGUCUCAAAACAAAACAAAAAAGAAGAAAAAGAAAAACUUCUUAUAGAGGGAGAUGAACCAGGUGAAGGUAGGCCAAGAAGGCAUUGGACAUCCCCAACUGGAAGCUUCAGAAGCAUGGAUCAAGCUGGAACAGAGGAGUGGGUGGCAGAGCAGCAGGAGGUGAGCAGGCUGGAUAAUACAGGACAAAGCAAAGUAGGUGUUGAAAAGUUUGUGGGCUUUAGCCUGUAAGCUGUGAGGAGUCCUCAAGGGGAAUCAUUCACCAGACUUAUAUUUUUAGUGGAUCAUGCUGGAGUAUGGUCUGGAGAAUAAUUUAGAAGCAG
This 1750-nucleotide long non-coding RNA is filed under the name Homo sapiens (human). Its description in RNAcentral is "non-protein coding lnc-TMUB2-1:10". Lineage: Eukaryota; Metazoa; Chordata; Mammalia; Primates; Hominidae. The record is from RNAcentral.